UCCAUUUACCUACUAGUCGACAUUUUAACCACAAUCAUGACACCUAACACGUCUUGAUCGCCUACUUUAAGCUGGUUUGAUUACAUUAUAUUUGCAGGUACUUUAACUUUCAGUACUUUGAUCGGGAUCUACUAUGGGUGCUUUGGCACCAGACAAGCAACCACCAGAGAGUAUCUAAGGGGUGGCAAAAGCAUGAAAAUCGUUCCUAUAGCAAUAUCUGUAGCAGUCAGCCAUAUUUCUGGAACUAUGCUACUAGGAACAGCGGCAGUGGAUUAAUUAUCAGCGCUAUGUCAAAGAGUAAGUCUGCAGUUGACAGGAAACUGCUAAGUCCCUUGAUAUACAAGCGCUUACCUGAAGAAUGCCCAGAGGAAAAGAUGACUUGUAUUAGUGCAGGAGAAACUUCAUAAAUUCUUAGUUAGAAUUUGCGCGUUUUGUGAAUAGUAGUACUGUUAUCUUUGUAAUUUUGCUAUGUUGUUGUUAUAAUAAUAAUAAUAAUAAUUUAAUGGUA
Long non-coding RNA from Zophobas morio, 508 nucleotides. RefSeq lists it as uncharacterized. The record is from RefSeq and is a predicted model, not a curated record. NCBI's taxonomy places the organism in Eukaryota, Metazoa, Arthropoda, Insecta, Coleoptera, Tenebrionidae. The transcript has 2 exons.